This 518-nucleotide ribosomal RNA is filed under the name Collariella bostrychodes. RNAcentral's name for it is "eukaryotic LSU rRNA". The stretch from base 177 to 330 matches the Rfam family "5.8S ribosomal RNA". Lineage: Eukaryota; Fungi; Ascomycota; Sordariomycetes; Sordariales; Chaetomiaceae. The record is from RNAcentral.
GRGAGUUGCAAAACUCCCUAAACCAUUGUGAACGUWACCUAUACCGUUGCUUCGGCGGGCGGCCCCGGGGUUUACCCCCCGGGCGCCCCCUGGGCCCCACCGMGGGCGCCCGYCGGAGGUCACCAAACUCUUGAUAAUYUAUGGCCUCUCUGAGUCUUCUGUACUGAAUAAGUCAAAACUUUCAACAACGGAUCUCUUGGUUCUGGCAUCGAUSAAGAACGCAGCKAAAUGCGAUAAGUAAUGUGAAUUGCAKAAUUCWGUGAAUCAUCGAAUCUUUGAACGCACAUUGCGCCCGCCAGCAUUCUGGCGGGCAUGCCUGUUCGAGCGUCAUUUCAACCAUCAAGCCCCCGGGCUUGUGUUGGGGACCUGCGGCUGCCGCAGGCCCUGAAAAGCAGUGGCGGGCUCGCUGUCGCACCGAGCGUAGUAGCAUACAUCUCGCUCUGGUCGCGCCGCGGGUUCCGGSCGUUAAACCACCUUUUAACCCAAGGUUGACCUCGGAUCAGGUAGGAAGACCCGCC